RNAcentral lists this ribosomal RNA (689 nucleotides) under Riemerella anatipestifer. RNAcentral's name for it is "bacterial SSU rRNA". It matches the Rfam family "Bacterial small subunit ribosomal RNA", at positions 837 to 1533 of the family's 1533-position model. The record is from RNAcentral. Lineage: Bacteria; Pseudomonadati; Bacteroidota; Flavobacteriia; Flavobacteriales; Weeksellaceae.
GGUUCAGAGACUAAGCGAAAGUGAUAAGUUAGCCACCUGGGGAGUACGACCGCAAGGUUGAAACUCAAAGGAAUUGACGGGGGCCCGCACAAGCGGUGGAUCAUGUGGUUUAAUUCGAUGAUACGCGAGGAACCUUACCAAGGCUUAAAUGGGAAUUGACAGCUGUAGAAAUACGGUUUUCUUCGGACAAUUUUCAAGGUGCUGCAUGGUUGUCGUCAGCUCGUGCCGUGAGGUGUUAGGUUAAGUCCUGCAACGAGCGCAACCCCUGUCACUAGUUGCCAUCAUUAAGUUGGGGACUCUAGUGAGACUGCCUACGCAAGUAGAGAGGAAGGUGGGGAUGACGUCAAAUCAUCACGGCCCUUACGCCUUGGGCCACACACGUGAUACAAUGGCCGGUACAGAGGGCAGCUACACUGCGAAGUGAUGCAAAUCUCGAAAGCCGGUCUCAGUUCGGAUUGGAGUCUGCAACUCGACUCUAUGAAGCUGGAAUCGCUAGUAAUCGCGCAUCAGCCAUGGCGCGGUGAAUACGUUCCCGGGCCUUGUACACACCGCCCGUCAAGCCAUGGAAGCUGGGGGUACCUGAAGUCGGUGACCGUAACAGGAGCUGCCUAGGGUAAAACUAGUAACUAGGGCUAAGUCGUAACAAGGUAGCCGUACCGGAAGGUGCGGCUGGAACAUCUCAUUUUAGA